CCAGCAGCCGCGGUAAUUCCAGCUCCAAUAGCGUAUAUUUAAGUUGUUGCAGUUAAAAAGCUCGUAGUUGGAUUUCGGGCGGGGCCUGCCGGUCCGCCUUUCGGUGUGCACUGGCAGGGUCCGCCUUGCUGCCGGGGACGGGUUCCUGGCUUUACUGUCUGGGACUCGGAGUCGGCGUGGUUACUUUGAGUAAAUUAGAGUGUUCAAAGCAGGCUUACGCUCUGAAUACAUUAGCAUGGAAUAACGCGAUAGGACUCUGGCCUAUCUUGUUGGUCUGUGGGACCGGAGUAAUGAUUAAGAGGGACAGUCGGGGGCAUUCGUAUUUCAUUGUCAGAGGUGAAAUUCUUGGAUUUAUGAAAGACGAACUACUGCGAAAGCAUUUGCCAAGGAUGUUUUCAUUAAUCAAGAACGAAAGU
This 416-nucleotide ribosomal RNA is filed under the name uncultured eukaryote. Its description in RNAcentral is "SSU rRNA". It matches the Rfam family "Eukaryotic small subunit ribosomal RNA", at positions 567 to 990 of the family's 1831-position model. The record is from RNAcentral.